Molecule: microRNA precursor, 85 nt
Organism: Chlorocebus sabaeus (green monkey)
Lineage: Eukaryota; Metazoa; Chordata; Mammalia; Primates; Cercopithecidae
Source: Ensembl
AUGUUGGUGCAAAAGUAAUUGUGGGUUUUGCUAUUAAUUGUGAUUACUUGUAAUGGCAAAACCUGCAAUUACUUUUGCACCAACC